GCCGGGUGUGGUGGCGCACACCUGUGAUCCCAGCACUUGGGAGGCUGAGGCAGGAGGAUCUCCUUGAGUUCGAGGCCAGCCUGAUCUACAUAAUGAGUUCAGGACCAGCCUGAACUACAAAGGGAGACCCUGCCUCAA
Unclassified non-coding RNA from Heterocephalus glaber (naked mole-rat), 138 nucleotides. It matches the Rfam family "Metazoan signal recognition particle RNA". Rfam says of the family: The signal recognition particle (SRP) is a universally conserved ribonucleoprotein. The record is from Ensembl. NCBI's taxonomy places the organism in Eukaryota, Metazoa, Chordata, Mammalia, Rodentia, Bathyergidae.